CUUCACCGAACCGAGCCACAGCGGUUCGGCUCGGUCCCGGCCGUAGGUGGCGAGCAGGGCUUGUGCCUC
RNAcentral lists this antisense RNA (69 nucleotides) under Actinokineospora cianjurensis. RNAcentral's name for it is "ASpks TB sRNA". It matches the Rfam family "ASpks TB sRNA". The record is from RNAcentral. Lineage: Bacteria; Bacillati; Actinomycetota; Actinomycetes; Pseudonocardiales; Pseudonocardiaceae.